RNAcentral lists this small nucleolar RNA (134 nucleotides) under Coturnix japonica (Japanese quail). Its description in RNAcentral is "Small nucleolar RNA SNORA41 (ENSCJPG00005015863.1)". It matches the Rfam family "Small nucleolar RNA SNORA41". Rfam says of the family: ACA41 is a member of the H/ACA class of snoRNA that guide the sites of modification of uridines to pseudouridines. The record is from Rfam by way of RNAcentral. Lineage: Eukaryota; Metazoa; Chordata; Aves; Galliformes; Phasianidae.
CUCCACAGUUACUGGCCUGAAACUGUUCAGGACUGUAGCAGUUGCAGUAUUCCCUCUGUGGAAGACAAACUGUUACGUAGUAUUAAGCACCUUCUCAGAUCCUCUAAGAAGGACUUUCUACGUAACAAACAAUG